CUUGUUGCUUCGGCGGGCCCGCCUUAACUGGCCGCCGGGGGGCUUACGCCCCCGGGCCCGCGCCCGCCGAAGACACCCUCGAACUCUGUCUGAAGAUUGUAGUCUGAGUGAAAAUAUAAAUUAUUUAAAACUUUCAACAACGGAUCUCUUGGUUCCGGCAUCGAUGAAGAACGCAGCGAAAUGCGAUACGUAAUGUGAAUUGCAAAUUCAGUGAAUCAUCGAGUCUUUGAACGCACAUUGCGCCCCCUGGUAUUCCGGGGGGCAUGCCUGUCCGAGCGUCAUUGCUGCCCUCAAGCACGGCUUGUGUGUUGGGCCCCGUCCUCCGAUCCCGGGGGACGGGCCCGAAAGGCAGCGGCGGCACCGCGUCCGGUCCUCGAGCGUAUGGGGCUUUGUCACCCGCUCUGUAGGCCCGGCCGGCGCUUGCCGAUCAACCCAAAUUUUUAUCCAGGUUGACCUCGGAUCAGGUAGGGAUACCCGCUGAACUUAAGCAUAUCAAUAAGGCGG
Molecule: ribosomal RNA, 504 nt
Filed under: Penicillium chrysogenum
Lineage: Eukaryota; Fungi; Ascomycota; Eurotiomycetes; Eurotiales; Aspergillaceae
Description: eukaryotic LSU rRNA
Rfam family: 5.8S ribosomal RNA (bases 129-281)
Source: RNAcentral